GACGAACGCUGGCGGCGUGCUUAACACAUGCAAGUCGAACGGAAAGGCCCUGCUUUUGUGGGGUGCUCGAGUGGCGAACGGGUGAGUAACACGUGAGUAACCUGCCCUUGACUUUGGGAUAACUUCAGGAAACUGGGGCUAAUACCGGAUAGGAGCUCCUGCUGCAUGGUGGGGGUUGGAAAGUUUCGGCGGUUGGGGAUGGACUCGCGGCUUAUCAGCUUGUUGGUGGGGUAGUGGCUUACCAAGGCUUUGACGGGUAGCCGGCCUGAGAGGGUGACCGGCCACAUUGGGACUGAGAUACGGCCCAGACUCCUACGGGAGGCAGCAGUGGGGAAUAUUGCACAAUGGGCGGAAGCCUGAUGCAGCAACGCCGCGUGCGGGAUGACGGCCUUCGGGUUGUAAACCGCUUUCGCCUGUGACGAAGCGUGAGUGACGGUAAUGGGUAAAGAAGCACCGGCUAACUACGUGCCAGCAGCCGCGGUGAUACGUAGGGUGCGAGCGUUGUCCGGAUUUAUUGGGCGUAAAGGGCUCGUAGGUGGUUGAUCGCGUCGGAAGUGUAAUCUUGGGGCUUAACCCUGAGCGUGCUUUCGAUACGGGCUGACUUGAGGAAGGUAGGGGAGAAUGGAAUUCCUGGUGGAGCGGUGGAAUGCGCAGAUAUCAGGAGGAACACCAGUGGCGAAGGCGGUUCUCUGGGCCUUUCCUGACGCUGAGGAGCGAAAGCGUGGGGAGCGAACAGGCUUAGAUACCCUGGUAGUCCACGCUGUAAACGGUGGGUACUAGGUGUGGGGUCCAUUCCACGGGUUCCGUGCCGUAGCUAACGCUUUAAGUACCCCGCCUGGGGAGUACGGCCGCAAGGCUAAAACUCAAAGGAAUUGACGGGGCCCCGCACAAGCGGCGGAGCAUGCGGAUUAAUUCGAUGCAACGCGUAGAACCUUACCUGGGUUUGACAUGGAUCGGGAGUGCUCAGAGAUGGGUGUGCCUCUUUUGGGGUCGGUUCACAGGUGGUGCAUGGCUGUCGUCAGCUCGUGUCGUGAGAUGUUGGGUUAAGUCCCGCAACGAGCGCAACCCUUGUUCACUGUUGCCAGCACGUUAUGGUGGGGACUCAGUGGAGACCGCCGGGGUCAACUCGGAGGAAGGUGGGGAUGACGUCAAGUCAUCAUGCCCCUUAUGUCCAGGGCUUCACGCAUGCUACAAUGGCCGGUACAGAGAGUGGCGAGCCUGUGAGGGUGAGCGAAUCUCGGAAAGCCGGUCUCAGUUCGGAUUGGGGUCUGCAACUCGACCUCAUGAAGUCGGAGUCGCUAGUAAUCGCAGAUCAGCAACGCUGCGGUGAAUACGUUCCCGGG
RNAcentral lists this ribosomal RNA (1343 nucleotides) under uncultured bacterium. RNAcentral's name for it is "16S ribosomal RNA". It matches the Rfam family "Bacterial small subunit ribosomal RNA", at positions 28 to 1378 of the family's 1533-position model. The record is from RNAcentral.